AAUUGGAGGGCAAGUCUGGUGCCAGCAGCCGCGGUAAUUCCAGCUCCAAUAGCGUAUAUUAAAGUUGUUGCAGUUAAAAAGCUCGUAGUUGAAUUUCGGGAUCAAUAUUUCGGUCAUGCCGUUGGUAUGCACUGUUAUCAUUGAUUUCUCACCUUCUAAAGAACCGUAAUGCCAUUAAUUUGGUGUUACGGGGAAUUAGGACUGUUACCUUGAAAAAAUUAGAGUGUUUAAAGCAGGCUCACGCUUGAAUACAUUAGCAUGGAAUAAUGAAAUAGGACAUCCGAUUCUAUUUUGUUGGUCUCUAGGAUCGAUGUAAUGAUUAAUAGGGAUAGUUGGGGGCAUUAGUAUUCAAUUGUCAGAGGUGAAAUUCUUGGAUUUAUUGAAGACUAACUACUGCGAAAGCAUUUGCCAAGGAUGUUUUCAUUAAUCAAGAACGAAAGUUAGGGGAUCGAAGACGAUCAGAUACCGUCGUAGUCUUAACCAUAAACUAUGCCGACUAGGGAUCGGAUGAUGUUAAUUUUUUAAUGACUCAUUCGGCGCCUUACGGGAAACCAAAGUGU
This 560-nucleotide ribosomal RNA is filed under the name uncultured Glomus. Its description in RNAcentral is "SSU rRNA". It matches the Rfam family "Eukaryotic small subunit ribosomal RNA", at positions 546 to 1106 of the family's 1831-position model. Lineage: Eukaryota; Fungi; Glomeromycota; Glomeromycetes; Glomerales; Glomeraceae. The record is from RNAcentral.